AGAACGAACGCUGGCGGCAUGCCUAAUACAUGCAAGUCGAACGAAGGCUUCGGCCUUAGUGGCGCACGGGUGCGUAACGCGUGGGAAUCUGCCCCUUGGUUCGGAAUAACAGUUGGAAACGACUGCUAAUACCGGAUGAUGACGAAAGUCCAAAGAUUUAUCGCCAAGGGAUGAGCCCGCGUAGGAUUAGCUAGUUGGUGAGGUAAAGGCUCACCAAGGCGACGAUCCUUAGCUGGUCUGAGAGGAUGAUCAGCCACACUGGGACUGAGACAUGGCCCAGACUCCUACGGGAGCAGCAGUAGGGAAUAUGGACAAUGGGCGCAAGCCUGAUCCAGCAAUGCCGCGUGAGUGAUGAAGGCCUUAGGGUUGUAAAGCUCUUUUACCCGAGAUGAUAAUGACAGUAUCGGAGAAUAAGCCCCGGCUAACUCCGUGCCUGCAGCCG
This 442-nucleotide ribosomal RNA is filed under the name uncultured soil bacterium. RNAcentral describes it as "bacterial SSU rRNA". It matches the Rfam family "Bacterial small subunit ribosomal RNA", at positions 26 to 517 of the family's 1533-position model. The record is from RNAcentral.